Cercocebus atys (sooty mangabey) is the source of this 476-nucleotide long non-coding RNA. RefSeq lists it as uncharacterized. The transcript has 3 exons. The record is from RefSeq and is a predicted model, not a curated record. Lineage: Eukaryota; Metazoa; Chordata; Mammalia; Primates; Cercopithecidae.
AACUCACCGGAAAUUCUGUUCUUAAAAUGAUGAAGUUUAUUCUAGUUUACGGAGUAUUUAAAAGCAAGCUAUGCUGAGAGGAACAAUACUUGGAGAGAAAUACUGGAUGGAUGCACAGUUUGAGUGGUGGAAUUCCAGUGAAGUAAAGAUGAAUUUGUAAAGGGAACCAAGGCAAGGCAAGAUGCAAAUGUGAUGGUAUAGGAUGCAUCAUCACACCGGCCAGCUCUGACACAGGCAUGAAGUAGGCAUUUUUGCUCAGCAUCUGGGAUACUGCCUGAAAGAGUUGCAUGAAACAGUAUCAUCUUAGAGUAAUCCAAAUAUGGUAGAAACAAAUAUGAUUCAAUCUGUAGAUUGGCCAAAGGAGAAGAGAAAGGCAACUGAUUGAGAGGACUAAAAAUCUUAUGAAGAAGGUACUAAAUGAUGAUUAAGGAUGACAUUUCUAUUCAAUCUGUUUAAACAUCAACAACAAUAAUAAA